GUAGGUGGCAAGCGUUGUCCGGAAUUAUUGGGCGUAAAGCGCGCGCAGGCGGUUCUUUAAGUCUGAUGUGAAAGCCCACGGCUCAACCGUGGAGGGUCAUCGGAAACUGGAGAACUUGAGUACAGAAGAGGAAAGCGGAAUUCCACGUGUAGCGGUGAAAUGCGUAGAGAUGUGGAGGAACACCAGUGGCGAAGGCGGCUUUCUGGUCUGUAACUGACGCUGAGGCGCGAAAGCGUGGGGAGCAAACAGGAUUAGAUACCCUGGUAGUCCACGCCGUAAACGAUGAGUGCUAAGUGUUAGGGGGGUUUCCGCCCCCCUUAGUGCUGCAGCUAACGCAUUAAGCACUCCGCCUGGGAGUACGGCCGCAAGGCUA
Molecule: ribosomal RNA, 373 nt
Filed under: uncultured organism
Description: partial 16S ribosomal RNA
Rfam family: Bacterial small subunit ribosomal RNA
Source: RNAcentral